This 474-nucleotide ribosomal RNA is filed under the name uncultured bacterium. RNAcentral describes it as "bacterial SSU rRNA". It matches the Rfam family "Bacterial small subunit ribosomal RNA", at positions 385 to 859 of the family's 1533-position model. The record is from RNAcentral.
GAACCAGCCAUGCCGCGUGAAGGAUGACGGCCCUAUGGGUUGUAAACUUCUUUUAUAUGGGAAGGAACUUAUCUACGUGUAGAUAACUGACGGUACCAUACGAAUAAGGAUCGGCUAACUCCGUGCCAGCAGCCGCGGUAAUACGGAGGAUCCAAGCGUUAUCCGGAUUCAUUGGGUUUAAAGGGUCCGUAGGCGGAUUUUUAAGUCAGUGGUGAAAGCCGACAGCUCAACUGUCGAACUGCCAUUGAUACUGGAGAUCUUGAGUACAAAUGAAGUAGGCGGAAUAAGUCAUGUAGCGGUGAAAUGCAUAGAUAUGACUCAGAACACCAAUUGCGAAGGCAGCUUACUAACAUGUAACUGACGCUGAGGGACGAAAGCGUGGGGAGCGAACAGGAUUAGAUACCCUGGUAGUCCACGCCGUAAACGAUCAUCACUCGCUGUUGGCGAUAUACAGUCAGCGGCCAAGCGAAAGUA